This 394-nucleotide unclassified non-coding RNA is filed under the name soil metagenome. Its description in RNAcentral is "partial contains 5.8S ribosomal RNA, internal transcribed spacer 2, and large subunit ribosomal RNA". The stretch from base 1 to 120 matches the Rfam family "5.8S ribosomal RNA", at positions 35 to 154 of the family's 154-position model. The record is from RNAcentral.
GAUGAAGAACGUAGCGAAAUGCGAUAAGUAAUGUGAAUUGCAGAUUUCAGUGAAUCAUCGAAUCUUUGAACGCAUCUUGCGCUCCUUGGUAUUCCGAGGAGCAUGCCUGUUUGAGUGUCGUGAAUACUCUCAACUUCAACCCUUUUUUCGGAAAGGGAGGAAGGUUGGACUUGGGUGUUUGUUGAAGUGCGAGCUUCGACUCAUCCUAAAUGCAUUAGCGAUCUGCCUCGAUCACACACAAUGUGAUAAUUAAAACUAAAGCAUUGUUUAAUGAUCAAGUCGAGACUGCUUCUAACUGUCGCAAGACAAUAACGUGCAUACAUUUGUGCAUGUCAUUUGACCUCAAAUCAGGUAGGACUACCCGCUGAACUUAAGCAUAUCAAUAAGCGGAGGA